ACUUGAUCUGAAAUCAGGCGGGAUUACCCGCUGAACUU
RNAcentral lists this ribosomal RNA (38 nucleotides) under Mucor luteus. RNAcentral's name for it is "partial 28S ribosomal RNA". Lineage: Eukaryota; Fungi; Mucoromycota; Mucoromycetes; Mucorales; Mucoraceae. The record is from RNAcentral.